RNAcentral lists this long non-coding RNA (683 nucleotides) under Marmota monax (woodchuck). The record is from RNAcentral. Lineage: Eukaryota; Metazoa; Chordata; Mammalia; Rodentia; Sciuridae.
AGCACAGACCCUGCGUCCGGGCCGUAGAGGGGCUAGGCGCAGGGGCCUCCGGGAAAUGUAGUCCAGACGCCUUGCUCCUUCCGCCGGCGGCUCGGACGCGAGAGCUGAGAAUACGGGGUUCCCGACUGGGACCCGGAAAGCCAGUUCCCCGUCUCCGGGAGGUGUGGUCCGCGCCCCAGACUCCUCCCAUUGUUCUUGUCGGAGCCAGCGGUCCGAAUGGACUACCACUCCCAGGGUGCCGCGGGCUUCAGACCCUGGGAACCCGGCAGACGCUGGCAAAUGAAGUUAGCCAGUACGGGAGGCGUGGGCUGGAGAAGGGGCAGCAGCAGAGGAUUAGUUUCAGGUCUAGGAGCGACUCGGGAGCCGUUCCGUCGGUGUUGAGACACGAUGUUGUGCGCUCAGGGAGAGGAGACGAGUAACCGAAAGCAGAGCCGGAGCAUGUGCUUCUUUCCAGUUCUGGGCCGGGCGCGCCCAGAUCAGUCAGCGCACCGUGCAUUGCUGUGGAUGGAGCCAGUGCCUCCCAUCUCACAGUUCACCCCGACCCCUGCAAGACCUGACGUGAAGUUUGCCGGGAUGCCGGGCCCUCAUGGCCAAUGGCCUCUGUGGGAGGCCCAGGAACCCGGAGAGAUGGAGAAAGUGUCGGUCCCGCUGGUUAGCACAGCCACCAGGGGGCGCUACAAGAC